AAAAUAAAAGAUAGUCAUGAUUCGACCAUAUUAGACUUGAUUUGCUAAGAGUUGGGCAUGGACACGACCAUAUCAGAUUUGUUGCCACCCCUCCCGAGCAGGCCAUAAAAUUUAGGGCAGGACUUCUCAUCCUACGAAACACGAGAAUUCGAGGAAGAUAGGUCAGGGUCAUCCGUCCUUCCGUCCGUCUCCAUCAUGGCCAUGUUGGAGACGGCGACCAUGGAGUAUGCCCGUCUCCGUACCAGCAGGAGCAACUCUGUAUUUCCCCGUAAGGCUCAGGGUUCGAUCCUGUUAUCUCUUCAUGUCGACGGAGAAAAAUCCUUCCAUGAGGGGAACUAUAGGGUUGAACGCUGAGGCAAUGAAAGCUGCGAUGGGCAAGAAAUCAAGGUCCGGAAGCAAGAGGGAUUGGAGGUGGCAAGGAAACACGGCAAGGGGAAGGCCAAGGCAUCCUCUUCUGCAAAACCCUAGCCUCCGUUUCCGUCUCGCCAUGCCGUCGCACCGCCGGAGCUAUCUCUAGCAAAACCCUAGUUUCAUCAGCUCCAUGACAUAUCUCGUCUCUUCUUCUGGUUGAUGUUGCUCGGAUUCAAGUUGAUCAAGAAUAUCGAUUGAGAGAUCCAUGUAUUUCCAAAUGUACUCUUACAAUGUGUAAGAAGAAUAUCUGUAAUAGAUUCAUUUGUCGUGAAUAUAUGCGUACAUUUAUUUUUAUGUUGAUGUUGAGUUUUUAUCCUGAGAUUCCUUCUCUUAUUAUCAUUUUGUGCCAUGUUUUUGGGUCAUUUCUGCCGUUGCAUAUACCAUGG
Molecule: long non-coding RNA, 797 nt
Filed under: Phoenix dactylifera (date palm)
Lineage: Eukaryota; Viridiplantae; Streptophyta; Magnoliopsida; Arecales; Arecaceae
Description: long non-coding RNA (PDAC_LNC003933)
Source: RNAcentral